RNAcentral lists this transfer RNA (70 nucleotides) under Atta laevigata. RNAcentral describes it as "tRNA-Cys". The record is from RNAcentral. Lineage: Eukaryota; Metazoa; Arthropoda; Insecta; Hymenoptera; Formicidae.
UAUAUUAUAAUUUAAAAAAAAAAUAUUAAAUUGCAAAUUUAAAAAUUUUAAAUAAAUUUAAAUAAUAUAU